GGUGGUUCAGUGGUAGAACGCUUGCCUUGCAUGCAUGAGGCCCUGGGUUCGAUUCCCCAGCACCA
This 65-nucleotide transfer RNA is filed under the name Dipodomys ordii (Ord's kangaroo rat). It matches the Rfam family "tRNA". From Rfam's summary of the family: Transfer RNA (tRNA) molecules are approximately 80 nucleotides in length. Their secondary structure includes four short double-helical elements and three loops (D, anti-codon, and T loops). The record is from Rfam by way of RNAcentral. Lineage: Eukaryota; Metazoa; Chordata; Mammalia; Rodentia; Heteromyidae.